GCACAAGCGGUGGAGCAUGUGGUUUAAUUCGAUGCAACGCGAAGAACCUUACCUGGCCUUGACAUCUACGGAAUUCUUCAGAGAUGAAGAAGUGCCUUCGGGAACCGUAAGACAGGUGCUGCAUGGCUGUCGUCAGCUCGUGUCGUGAGAUGUUGGGUUAAGUCCCGCAACGAGCGCAACCCUUGUCCUUAGUUGCCAUCAUUCAGUUGGGAACUCUAAGGAGACCGCCGGUGACAAACCGGAGGAAGGUGGGGAUGACGUCAAGUCAUCAUGGCCUUUAUGGCCAGGGCUACACACGUGCUACAAUGGCAGGUACAGAGGGAAGCCAACGCGCGAGCGGGAGCCAAUCCCAGAAAGCCUGUCGUAGUCCGGAUCGGAGUCUGCAACUCGACUCCGUGAAGUCGGAAUCGCUAGUAAUCGCAGAUCAGCAUUGCUGCGGUGAAUACGUUCCCGGGC
This 456-nucleotide ribosomal RNA is filed under the name uncultured bacterium. RNAcentral describes it as "bacterial SSU rRNA". It matches the Rfam family "Bacterial small subunit ribosomal RNA", at positions 923 to 1379 of the family's 1533-position model. The record is from RNAcentral.